Gossypium raimondii (Peruvian cotton) is the source of this 1212-nucleotide long non-coding RNA. RefSeq lists it as uncharacterized. The record is from RefSeq and is a predicted model, not a curated record. NCBI's taxonomy places the organism in Eukaryota, Viridiplantae, Streptophyta, Magnoliopsida, Malvales, Malvaceae. The transcript has 2 exons.
GCCGAAUGAAAAUAGAAAGAAAAUAAGAAAACCAAGCUAGGUAUUCGACCCUUGUUCAAGCAAAUUAAGAUCAAGAACCAAAGAAAACAGAUUUGGAUCAGGGAAAAGCAAAAAUAAUCGGAUAGUCGUUUGUUUCCGUUUGUCGACAUCCGAGGUAAGUUUAUAAGCAUUUUAAAUGUUGUUAACUUUGAUUAUAUGUGAAUUAUAUAUAGGUUGAAUUGAAUUCUUGAUUAUAUAAGUGUUGGUCGAAUGUUUGAUUAUAUGUGAAUUAUGCUUGGGAGCAAUGUUUUCGAGUUCGAUUCGAUCGAGAUACGAUGUCUGAAAGUCCCGUACGAACCUUAGGAAUAGUUAGGAUACAUAUGUCAUGACAUAGGAUUCCAUUGUGUGUUAUCGUGUAAGACCAUGUCUGGGACGUUCGCAUCGAUUUGUGAUUUACGUGUAAGACCCUAUCUGGGACAGUGGCAUCGAUAUGUAAUUACAUGUAAGACCACGUCUGGGACGUUGGCAUUGUAUCAGCUUUCCGACUAUUGACGUAUCCUUUUUAAUUUUGAACGGUUCAACGAGCAAUAUGAAGUAAAGACCGAAUGUGAAAUCAACUUACAGGUUCAGGUAUGUGCUAGUUAAAUGUUUAUAAGGAAACAAGGUAAGUUGAUUACUUGAAAUGAUAUAAAGUUAUGUGAAUAUGGAUUUCGUGUUAGCAUAGUUGAGCAUAUAAGUGAUUUGGCCUAUUGAUAUGUUUGUAAUAAUAAAUGUGAAAAUAUAUAUGUAUAUGAUUGACUAUAUUUGGCCAUAUGGUAUAUGUAUGUGAGGUUAAAAUGUGAUCUAUUAGUAAAUGAUAACUUGUAUUUGAUAUUAUGCAAAUUCGGCCUUGUAAACAAAAUGUUAAUAUGUAAUUGUUGUUAUAUAUGUUUUUGCUUAAUGCUUACUAAGCUUAAAUAGCUUAUUGUGUGCGUGCUCUUGUUUACCUCUAUUUUAUAUAUUUUGGAGUCACGUUACGAGCUCGGGGAUCGUCAGCAAAGCCUAUCACACUAUCAACUGUUUCUUUUGGUAUUUUACUAGGUUGAUUUUGGGCAUAUGGCAUGUAUAGCAUAGUUGAAAUGUUUGAUUUUUCGGCAUGUAUAUAUAUAUAUAAAGCCAUGCUAAAAUGGCUUGAUGACUUUGUUUAGGUUCGGUUAUAUGAGUUCUUGUUUAAAUGUUUAAUGUGUUUGGUUU